Molecule: long non-coding RNA, 4821 nt
Filed under: Sus scrofa (pig)
Lineage: Eukaryota; Metazoa; Chordata; Mammalia; Artiodactyla; Suidae
Description: lncRNA (ENSSSCG00000059364.1)
Source: RNAcentral
UGCCUAAAAUAGCUUGGUAUGUCGGCUUAGAAGAGAGGGUGGAAUGGUCUUCUGGAAUUGUAUUUUAAAAUUGAAGUCUAAAUUCCUUGUUCUACGCUAUGACAUUGUGAAGGCACAGAGCCUUGGUGUCUUUCAUAGAGUAAGGGCAGAUUCUGCCUUUCAACAGACCCAAGAACAUUGCAGGGCAAAUUUAAGUCAGAAAAUCUUGCCAGAAAAUAGUACCGUAGAGAUGAGGCAGCUGUUAAAAACUGUGGGUCUUGUUCAUAAGGACUAAAGAACUGCCAAUAUCAAUGCCACCUUUUCUUGUUUUUCUUCAUGAAUAUUUCUGUAAUUAAAUGAAAGUAGAAGAUGGAUUAACAUCAAUCACAACUUGUAUUUCCAGAAGAGACAUACCUACAAAGUCUAAACUGUAGACUCUGUAGCAUUUAAAUUAGAUUUUAAUAUAAUCCUCUUUAAAAAAUAUAUUAUACAUAGGUACAUAUAUAUGUGUUCCUAUAUAUGUAUAUAUUUAGGCAAACACCCCAACAAAAAUGCAAAUUCUAUUGGGCCACAUAUUUUAGGAAGGUAUACUGUUGAUUGGAAAAAAAAGAUGACUCCAAAAUAGCUUGUUUCAUGAGACCCUGCUUCUGUAAAAUGACAACUAAAUAUAAAUGUCUAUUUUAUCUGUGUCUGUCUAUCUAUCUAUCAUUUAUCUAUAUAUCUGGAAGAGAUAACAUCAAAAUGUUAGCAGUGUCCUGGGAGGGGAGCAGAUUUCAUACAGCUUUUCAUUCUCAGUUAAACAAUGAACAUGUGUUAUUUCCAGUAUGUUUUUCAAACUAUUUAAAAAGAACCAUUCAGAAGCAUGUUGGCCACUUAGAGACUUAUAAAUAGCCAUUUCCCACUAGGAAAGUAAGGAGGAAGGAGAAUGCUAAACAUUCUACCAAACCCCAUUAUGCAGCACAUCUCUGGAAGAAAAGCAUCCAUGCAGAUGUCCUUCGUAAGCAAGCCUGAGAAGAAAUACAUCAGUUCACUGGGGACCUCUAACAAGCUAUUCACUAACAAGGAAUUCAAUUUGGGUAGCCUGACGGAUGUUUUUCCCAUGACCAUGGAAUUGAAUGUGGGUUUCAGCCUAGCGUCGUCACGUGGGAAUGUGUCCUCACCAAUAUAAUGAGAAUAAGGUGCAUCUAUUCACAGGCUAUGUGAGGAUGAAAUGAAGUACCAUGAGUGAGAUGCCCAGUCCAGUACCUGGUGCCUAAUGAAUAGGAGUGUUCUGUGGCCAGGCCCAGAUGAAGUCCCUCUCCCAUCCCCUGUGGAGUAGCAAGGAAGAAACAUUAACCCCGAAUCCCCUCUCCCUUGAACGUAGUGCAGGAAGGUGGUGAAACUCUCCCUCCACUAGCUUGAAAUUCUCAAGUGUGACUGGUGAGCCUAGAGUUUCUGUUAGGAUCCCAAAGACCGUAAAUAAGAAAAAGAAGAAUCCUUUAAAAAAAACUAACUUACUCUUAUCCACGAAGGUCAAGAGCUAGAAAGCUGAAUUUAUUCUGUUCACAGGGAGGAAAUUAAAAUUUGAUAACACAGUCCCGAGAUGAGCAUGAAAAAUGAUAAUGCAAAUCCACUGAGGAGAAAGUAAUUGUCUUAGAAUGAAGAAAUUCUACAUAAUAAUAAUAGCUAGGCUUGGAGAAGGUGACUUAACCAAAUUCACGGAAGUAGGAAGUGGCGAUUCUGGGAUUUGAGGUGAGUUGGAUUCCAUCAGCUUCUUUUUCUUAUUACUGCUAUAAAAUCCUCAGAUCUGAAAUAAAUGUUAGAGGCCAUGUCAUCUAUUUCUUCAUCUUUAAGUUGGUAUAAAUAAUAGCAGAUCAAGGAAUUGUGUUGCAGUUUGUAAACUCAGCCAUUAACAUAUAAUUAAGGUCACCAGAUUUAGGAACUAAAGACACAGGAUGCCCCAAAGAUUUGAAUUUUAGAUAAUAAAUAUUUUGAAGUCUUUGCGUAAUCGAUACACUUAUACUAAAAAUGUAUUUGUUGCUUUUUUGAAAUUUAAAUUUAAUGAAGUGUCCUGUAUUUUGUCUGGUAACCCUAAAUAUGAUGUCAAUCUAGCAUUCUACAUAUGAUCGAACCACAAGAAAAGAUUUUCUUGGACUGCUGAAAGGUAUAAUUCAAGGUAAAGGUAUGACAUUUUAUAGUUUUUCAACCAUAAAGCACCUGUGAAGCACUUUACACUUGACUAAUAACUUCCUUUGAUUCCAGUCCUCCCAAACUGACAAAGAAAUUAUGCUCCUUGCUCAAUGUCAGAUAGCAGUAAGUUUAAAAAUCUGACAUUUAAAUUUGGGUGAUCUAAUGUGGCUGCUACUAUUGCUAAUAAUGGUAAGUGCAACUAUAAUUUAUUAAGUGCUUGCAAUAUUGUCUGUCAGGCAUUGUGGUUGUACUUUAUACAUCAUGUCUCCCUUUAUGAGAAGAUAAACUUCCACACAGAAAAGGUUCUCACUGAAGGCUGCUCUGUGUCUUCCAGAGUACUCCAGAGUGAUGAGUAGUAACUCAAUUGAAUGGUAGCACUUCUGUGUAAUCUAAUACAAAACUUGGCAAAUUCUUGGGAAGUUACUUCCAGAACCAUUGUCUAUUCAUAUUUACAUGUGUCUCUUCUCAGGCUUUGGGACCCUUAGGGACAGGGAACGUGUCUUGGCCUCCACCGUAUCAUCCUUUAUUGAGCCUGGUGCCAGUACUUUGCAAAGAGAAGGAAUUUAAAAAAAAAAAAAUGUUUGUUAAAUGAGUGAAAAAAAUGAAUAAGCAUGAGUCUAGAAAAUAUCAAUUUAGGAUUCUGGAAGAGAUGAAAAGACGUCUCUUUUAUCAGCAAAUUAUUUAAAAGUAUCAUUGAGAGAUUUUUAAGGGAAGAAAUAGAUUAAUCAGCAAGUAAUGUUAAUUUAUAGUACAAGCCUUGCUUCUAUAAACUUCAAAAAGUAUGGUGAGAGAAGAGGAAAAAUGGAGGCUUUUGUUUAGUUGCAGAAUUCUGAUUCUUCAAUAGACAACUCCUUCAUUGUGCAGCCUACAAAAUGCAUUGAGAGGGAUUCUAGUAAGAGCCCAUCUGCUGUUACGGCCAUGGAAAGUUCCAUUGCUAAGAGUCUUCAAAUGUUCGAUUAGUACAAAGCACUAGGAGAGGGGCAGACUGAGGGAGACUAUUAGCCACAGGUACCAAUAACCUAGCGACAAGACAGUUAACAGCCACGUCACUUCCCUGAUUUGGAGAAGGAUAACAGGGAGGAGGGAGAGGGGAGGGAGAAGGAGGGAAUAGAGGAAUGGAAAAGGAAGCAACAAGGGGGCAGGGGGUGAAUUUGGUAAGGGUCAAAAAUGGCAGUUUCUGUCCCAAUUCUGCAUCCUGCCAGGGGCAGUACUCAGCAAGGUCACUUCCUCCCCGGGGCUCAGUUUCUUCAUCUGUAAAAUGAAGGUGUCAGACUAGAACAACAUUUCCCAGGAGAAUGUACUCCUGGGAUCUGCAGUAUAUUGCAAGGUGGUAUGCAGAAGAAAAAAACAUGCAUCUCUAUAGUUAAUUAAAUUUGGGAAAAGCUGGAUAAAGCAAAACAAAAUGGGUUUAUUUGAGGAUUUCUACUGUCUUUGAAGUUCAAAUGUAAUUUCUUUUCUCAUCUUUAAAAGGCGUUAAUAGUGCCUACACCAUAAAGUUCUUGUGAGGGUUAGUGGGUCAAUUCUAAGGCUCAAUAGAUGUUAGCCUCCAUUAUUACGGCUGCCAUCACCUUAUCAUUAUUAACCUGGAAAGUGGACCUCCAAACUUAGGAGACUCUAGACAGGACUGAGUGGUUGAUUGAUGGAGUAUCUCAUUGAGAGCUAAAUUCUUCAUUAUACCAUCUGAGAAAUCCUGGUCUAGAAUGACCCAGAGCCCUUUCCAUCUCUGAUAUUCCAUGCCUCCAUGAUGAGUUAAGCUCCUAAACACAGCCUAUUCCACCAUUAGCAAAAGCAUUAAAACCCAUAAUAAGUAAAUGAAAUUUAUCGAAUGAACAAACAAAUAAAUUUUUUAAGUUGAGAGCCCACACGCUCUAUCCACUCAGUGUCAAGGCUCAGACUGCAGCCCUACUUCCCAACUGGAAGAGUUUUUCAGAGCCUGUGCUAUUCAUAUUCCAAAAGGAACAUAUGAACUUCAGUAUAUCUGCAAAUGCUCAGUACCAUCCCCUCCCAGGCUAAUUUGCCCAUAAUCAUCCAAGCCAUUAGCUGUUUCAUUCAUUCACUCAUGUAUACUUUCACUCAGUAAAUGUCUAUAAAAGUUCCCCUAUGUUCCAUGCAUUGUUCCAGCAAUGAAGAGAUUAUAAGGGUGAAUCAUUCAUAGAGCAGACCUUCACAGUAAUUAGAGUCUCCUUGAGGAGAAAAAAAUAUGUACAAUAAUGGUCAUUUAAGGUGAGUCAUGCUGAGAGUGGCAGUAGUUUAAUUCAAUAACAGAUUAUAGUCAGUUUGAGAAGCAGGAUAGUCUUCAGGGGAAAACCAUGUGGCAUUAAAACGGACCCUGAAGAAACAGAAAUAGAUUCAUAGACAUAGAAAGCAAACUUAUGGUUAACAAAGGGGAAGCAGGAGAGAAGGGUAAAUCAGGAGUAGGGGAUUAACAGAGACACAACCAUAUAUAAAAUCGAUAAACAGGAGUUCCCAUUGUGGCUCAGUGGUAGCAAAUCCAACUAGUAUCCAUGAGGACAUGCGUUUGAUUAAUGGCCUCGCUCAGUGGAUUAAGAAUCCAGUGUUGCCAUGAGCUGAGUAUAGGUUGCAGAUACAGCUCAGAUCUGGCGUUACUGUGGCUGUGGCCCAGGCCAGCAGCUGCAACUCCAAUUCAACCCCUUGCUUGGAAACUUCCAUAUG